Long non-coding RNA from Mustela erminea (ermine), 475 nucleotides. RefSeq lists it as uncharacterized. The record is from RefSeq and is a predicted model, not a curated record. The transcript has 3 exons. Lineage: Eukaryota; Metazoa; Chordata; Mammalia; Carnivora; Mustelidae.
CAAGGAAGCAGCUGAGCCUAUGUUAUAUAUAUGGAUAAAAUCAGAAGACCUAGAUUGUAUCUGUUUCUGUAUGACUGAAAAAAUGCGCUUAUGGAAUCAUAUUAAUUAAAUCUUCCAGAUGGAUGAACCCACAUCUUUCUCGCUCCAAAUCCUUCGUUCUUUUCACGAAGUGGAAUGACGUCUAAGCCACUGACAGAGGGAUAAGAAUACGCAUGGCUUACCGUUCCCAUGCCUUUCCUGUUAGAGUUCAGACUCACUCACCCAGGAAGGAAAAGGUGGGAGAAGACUGAACUACGGCUACUUGUUGAAGAUGGAUUCUGAUGAUAACCAGAUUCCUGUUGUCUCUUAGUGAGAGAGGCAGAGGAGAGGAUUCAUCGCAACUCUCCUGAGGACUUCCAAGGGCGGAGGAAAGACCCUGACCAAGGGCCUAACAUCUACAUCUUCCUCAACCAGACCUGUCAAAUGCCACCUCAUC